Stachybotrys chartarum IBT 40288 is the source of this 72-nucleotide non-coding RNA. The record is from Rfam. Lineage: Eukaryota; Fungi; Ascomycota; Sordariomycetes; Hypocreales; Stachybotryaceae.
GGGUAAUUAAUUCAACGGCAGAAUAUUUGUUUUACACACGAAAGGUUAGAGGUUCAAAUCCUUUAUUACUCA